GACGAACGCUGGCGGCGUGCUUAACACAUGCAAGUCGAACGGAAAGGCCCUGCUUUUGUGGGGUGCUCGAGUGGCGAACGGGUGAGUAACACGUGAGUAACCUGCCCUUGACUAUGGGAUAACUUCAGGAAACUGGGGCUAAUACCGGAUAGGAGCUCCUGCUGCAUGGUGGGGGUUGGAAAGUUUCGGCGGUUGGGGAUGGACUCGCGGCUUAUCAGCUUGUUGGUGGGGUAGUGGCUUACCAAGGCUUUGACGGGUAGCCGGCCUGAGAGGGUGACCGGCCACAUUGGGACUGAGAUACGGCCCAGACUCCUACGGGAGGCAGCAGUGGGGAAUAUUGCACAAUGGGCGGAAGCGUGAUGCAGCAACGCCGCGUGCGGGAUGACGGCCUUCGGGUUGUAAACCGCUUUCGCCUGUGACGAAGCGUGAGUGACGGUAAUGGGUAAAGAAGCACCGGCUAACUACGUG
Molecule: ribosomal RNA, 468 nt
Filed under: uncultured bacterium
Lineage: Bacteria
Description: partial 16S ribosomal RNA
Rfam family: Bacterial small subunit ribosomal RNA
Source: RNAcentral